CACCAGAUAAAACCACUAGCAACCCAUGUCCUAUUACUACGUGAAGAAAAUGGUUGGAGUAAUAAGUUUGAACUGCUUUCUCAUAUUAAUGGGAUCUGUUUUUGUAGCAGGUUAUAUUCCUUUAUCAUAUUAUCUCACAGAAAAAUGUAAUAAUAAUGUAGUAUUUUCUCAUGAUGUGAGGAUUCGACUGUCAAGAUAUUCAUCAAGCUAUUUACCAAGAUCAUUAAGUUGUCAUUUAGCAGUAACUUCAGUCAAACCCAGUGAUCAUAUUAUGAUUAAAUUUAGAGAUCUUGACACACAACUUUCAACCAGGUGUACAACAAACAGUCUGAAAAUAACUGAUGGCGUUACAGCACAAGCAAUAGGACCUCAAAAAGGAUUUUGUGGGUUUAGUACACCAUAUCAAGUUUACCAAUCAACAGGAGACUCUAUAUAUUUAGAUUUUACAACAAAUUCCCUAUUCCAAACUGGCGAUUUUGACAUCCUCU
Patella vulgata (common limpet) is the source of this 488-nucleotide long non-coding RNA. RefSeq lists it as uncharacterized. The record is from RefSeq and is a predicted model, not a curated record. The transcript is spliced from 3 exons. NCBI's taxonomy places the organism in Eukaryota, Metazoa, Mollusca, Gastropoda, Patellidae.